This 632-nucleotide ribosomal RNA is filed under the name Sphingobacterium multivorum. RNAcentral's name for it is "bacterial SSU rRNA". It matches the Rfam family "Bacterial small subunit ribosomal RNA", at positions 230 to 862 of the family's 1533-position model. Lineage: Bacteria; Pseudomonadati; Bacteroidota; Sphingobacteriia; Sphingobacteriales; Sphingobacteriaceae. The record is from RNAcentral.
CUCGCGUGACAUUAGCUAGUUGGUAGGGUAACGGCUUACCAAGGCGACGAUGUCUAGGGGCUCUGAGAGGAGAAUCCCCCACACUGGUACUGAGACACGGACCAGACUCCUACGGGAGGCAGCAGUAAGGAAUAUUGGUCAAUGGGCGGAAGCCUGAACCAGCCAUGCCGCGUGCAGGAUGACUGCCCUAUGGGUUGUAAACUGCUUUUGUCCAGGAAUAAACCUUUAUACGUGUAGGAAGCUGAAUGUACUGGAAGAAUAAGGAUCGGCUAACUCCGUGCCAGCAGCCGCGGUAAUACGGAGGAUCCGAGCGUUAUCCGGAUUUAUUGGGUUUAAAGGGUGCGUAGGCGGCCUAUUAAGUCAGGGGUGAAAUACGGUGGCUCAACCAUCGCAGUGCCUUUGAUACUGAUGGGCUUGAAUCCAUUUGAAGUGGGCGGAAUAAGACAAGUAGCGGUGAAAUGCAUAGAUAUGUCUUAGAACUCCGAUUGCGAAGGCAGCUCACUAAGCUGGUAUUGACGCUGAUGCACGAAAGCGUGGGGAUCGAACAGGAUUAGAUACCCUGGUAGUCCACGCCCUAAACGAUGAUAACUCGAUGUUGGCGAUAGACAGCCAGCGUCCAAGCGAAAGCGUUA